UACGAAGGGGGCUAGCGUUGUUCGGAAUUACUGGGCGUAAAGCGCGCGUAGGCGGAUAUUUAAGUCAGGGGUGAAAUCCCGGGGCUCAACCCUGGAACUGCCUUUGAUACUGGAUAUCUGGAGUUCGGGAGAGGUGAGUGGAAUUCCGAGUGUAGAGGUGAAAUUCGUAGAUAUUCGGAGGAACACCAGAAGCGAAGGCGGCUCACUGGCCCGAUACUGACGCUGAGGCGCGAAAGCGUGGGGAGCAAACAGG
Molecule: ribosomal RNA, 253 nt
Filed under: uncultured bacterium
Lineage: Bacteria
Description: partial 16S ribosomal RNA
Rfam family: Bacterial small subunit ribosomal RNA
Source: RNAcentral